CCUUCUUCUUCUCUCUUUCUCCUUCUUUCCUUUUCUUCCCUCUCUUUCCUUCUUUUCGAUUCGUCGUGCGUGAAAGCUCCCAGGCUUAACCGGGAGAGGACGUGCGAGACUGUCGGACUAGAGGCAGGUAGAGGCAAGUGGAAUUCCGGGUGUAGUGGUGAAAUGCGUAGAGAUCCGGAGGAACACCAGAGGCGAAGGCGACACCCUGGGCCGUACCUGACGCUAAGACGCGACAGCAUGGGGAGCGAACGG
This 252-nucleotide ribosomal RNA is filed under the name uncultured prokaryote. RNAcentral describes it as "partial 16S ribosomal RNA". The stretch from base 43 to 252 matches the Rfam family "Bacterial small subunit ribosomal RNA", at positions 567 to 775 of the family's 1533-position model. The record is from RNAcentral.